Molecule: ribosomal RNA, 119 nt
Filed under: Lepisosteus oculatus (spotted gar)
Lineage: Eukaryota; Metazoa; Chordata; Actinopteri; Semionotiformes; Lepisosteidae
Source: RNAcentral
GCCAGCAGCUAUAUCACUCUGCAACUCACAACCAACAGCCCACUGCAGCUCAGCAGGUGUGAGCCUGGUCAGUACCCGGAGGGGAGACCUCCUGGGGAAAACUAAGGUUGCUGCUGGAA